This 5038-nucleotide long non-coding RNA is filed under the name Sus scrofa (pig). RNAcentral's name for it is "lncRNA (ENSSSCG00000054847.1)". Lineage: Eukaryota; Metazoa; Chordata; Mammalia; Artiodactyla; Suidae. The record is from RNAcentral.
CAAACAAAAAGGAUUAUUUACCUCCUAACAUCCCUUGCCCACAUUUUAUGGUUUUGAUGACUCUUUUAUUUUUUUCUUUUUAAUUUUAUUUUGUUUGAAGCAUGUUCAUGAUUAAAUCUGUAUGCUGGCUUAUUUGAGUGACUGCUCUCUGAUUGUAUCUUCCUCAGUCCUAGUUCUUCCUCUUCUUCUUCUUCUUCUUUUUUUUUUUUUUCUUUUCUUUUUUCUUCCCUUUCCUUCCUUUCUUUUUGGUUUAGAGAAGCCCUUUCAAUAUUUCCUUUAACCUGGGUUUUGUGUUGCUGUAUUCUUUAAGUUUUUGUUUGUUGGGAAAAAUUUUUAUUUCCCCUUCUAUUUUAAAUGAUAUUCUUGCUGGAUAAAGUAUUCUAGGUUGCAUAUUUUUUCCUUUGAGCACUUUAAAUAUCUCUUGCCAUUCCCUCCUGGCCUGUAGUGUUUCUGUAGAGAAAUCAGCUGAUAUUCUUAUGGGGGUUCCCUUGUAGGUAACAUUCUGUUUUUCUCUUGCUGCCUUUAGGAUCCUCUCUUUAUCACUAACUUUUGCCAUUUUUAUUAUGAUGUGUCUUGGUGUGGGUCUGUUUGGGUUCAGUUUGUUUGGGGCCCUCUGUGCUUCUUGUAUCUUGAAUCCAGUAUCCUUUAGAUUUGGGAAGUUUCCAGCGAUAAUUUCUUCAAAUAUAUUUUCCAUUCCUUUAUCUUUUUCUACUCCUUCUGGAAUUCCUAUUAUGCGUAGAUUGGCCCGUUUUAUAUUAUCCCAUAGGUCUCUUAUAUUGCUUUCCAGUUUUUUGAUUCGGUUUUCUGUCUGUUGACCAGAUUGAGUGAUUUCCAUUAUUCUAUCUUCCAUAUCACUGAUUCGUUCUUCUGCAUUAUUCAUUCUGGUUUUUACUGCCCCUAGUUCAGUUUGCAUCUCUGCAAAUGAAUGUUCUAGUUUUUCUUGGCUCCUCCUUAUAUUUUCUAGCUCCUUUCUGAGGGUAUCUGCAUUGCUGUUCAUAUCUUCUCUUAAUUCCUUCAGUAUUUUCACUAUUUCUCUUUUGAACUCCAGGUCUGUCAGACUGCAGAGAUCAGUUUCAUUGUUGACUGUUUUAGGUGAGUUCUCCUGUUGGUUUGACUGGGGGUGGUUUCUCAGCUUCUUCAUCUUGCUUGUUGUCUUCUUUCUCCUGAGGGAGUUGUACUCUCCGUUAUCGGGUAGUGUUUGCCUUGUCACUGCCCUGGAAUAUUUCCUGAGGGCUGUCGUUGUUGGUCAAUCUUUUUUUGAGGCAGUGUGGCUUUUCUGGAGUGUUGAUGGGGCUAACAGUGUUUCUUUGAAGCAAAGGAGGACUUCCUGAGGGCAGACAGGACUGGGAGGUCCACCCCACGAUGGUAGCAGAUUUCACUUGGUUCUCAGCACCCCCUGGGAUCUUGGGCGGGUAGCAGGGCCCUUGGAGACUCAAGAGGCUCCUCCCCAGGGCAGCCCGACUCAGAAAGACCGUCUGAGAUCUUUUCCCGAUUCGGCCAGGCUUGUUGCAGCUUUUCUGGGCUGCAGGGGGUCCUGCCUGGAGCUGGCAGUCCUAUGCAGCUGGUCCACUAGGUCUCAGCACCCCUUGGGGUCUUGGGCGGGGGCAGGGCCUUUGGAGACUCAAGAGGCUCCUCCCCAGAACAGCCCGACUCAGAAAGACCGUCUGAGAUCUUUUCCCGAUUCGGCCAGGCUUGUUGCAGCUUUUCUGGGCUGCAGGGGGUCCUGCCUGGAGCUGGCAGUCCUAUGCAGCUGGUCCACUGGGUCUCAGCACCCCCUGGGGUCUUGGGCGGGUAGCAGGGCCCUUGGAGGCUCAAGAGGCUCCUCCCCAGGACAGCCCGACUCAGAAAGACCGUCUGAGAUCUUUUCCCAAGUCGGCCAGGCUUGUUGCAGCUUUUCUGGGCUGCAGGGGGUCCUGCCUGGAGCUGGCAGUCCUAUGCAGCUGGUCCACUAGGUCUCAGCACCCCUUGGGGUCUUGGGCGGGUAGCAGGGCCCUUGGAGACUCAAGAGGCUCCUCCCCAGGGCAGCCCGAUUCAGAAAGACCGUUUGAGAUCUUUUCCCGAUUCGGCCAGGCUUGUUGCAGCUUUUCUGGGCGCAGGGGGUCCUGCCUGGAGCUGGCAGUCCUAUGCAGCUGGUCCACUAGGUCUCAGCACCCCCUGGGGUCUUGGGCGGGUAGCAGGGCCCUUGGAGGCUCAAGAGGCUCCUCCCCAGGACAGCCCGACUCAGAAAGACCGUCUGAGAUCUUUUCCCGAUUCGGCCAGGCUUGUUGCAGCUUUUCUGGGCUGCAGGGGGUCCUGCCUGGAGCUGGCAGUCCUAUGCAGCUGGUCCACUAGGUCUCAGCACCCCCUGGGGUCUUGGGCGGGUAGCAGGGCCCUUGGAGACUCAAGAGGCUCCUCCCCAGGACAGCCCGACUCAGAAAGACCGUCUGAGAUCUUUUCCCGAUUCGGCCAGGCUUGUUGCAGCUUUUCUGGGCUGCAGGGGGUCCUGCCUGGAGCUGGCAGUCCUAUGCAGCUGGUCCACUAGGUCUCAGCACCCCUUGGGGUCUUGGGCGGGUAGCAGGGCCCUUGGAGACUCAAGAGGCUCCUCCCCAGGACAGCCCGACUCAGAAAGACCGUCUGAGAUCUUUUCCCACUUCGGCCAGGCUUGUUGCAGCUUUUCUGGGCUGCAGGGGGUCCUGCCUGGAGCUGGCAGUCCUAUGCAGCUGGUCCACUAGGUCUUAGCACCCCCUGGGGUCUUGGGCGUGUAGCAAGGCCCUUGGAGACUCAAGAGGCUCCUCCCCGGGGGAGCCCGUCUCAGAAAAACCGUUGGAGAAUUAGGUCGAUCUAUUCACGGCCUGGCUAGGCUUGUUCUAGCUUUUCUGGGCUGCAGGCCUUUUCUAGGGGGCUGGUGGUGUUUGGUGCUGCUCUGUGGAAGUGUAGCCCCUCCAAAGGGCAAGCAGGCCUGUGCAGGGAGAGCCCCUGCGGUGGUAGGCUUCAGGCAAUUGUUGAGGCCAGCCCUCCUGGAUGGCAGGCAGCCCCAGGUUCCGCGAGAGCGUAGGGGGUGGCGGGGGUGGGGGGAGGGAAUGCACUGGGAAGCACAGCUUUCUGCUAGCUAGCGGGCCUGUAAGCUUGCUGUGGCGUGGGGGGUAUUCUAUGGGGACCCACCCCUUCUUCUCUCCGCUCCCCAGCACGGGCGCAGACCAGGCUCUUCUCCCAGGUUCCCUCUGAGGCGGCUUUCCACUUCCCCGCCCCUAGAGUAUUGCUCCCUUCCUCUGCCGACAGCUUUGUUUUCUAGUCUCCCAGGCAGUCUCUGCCCCGUCAAAUGGUUUAGAGACCUCCCAAGCAGUUUCCGCUCUUCCCCGCCCCCUAGCCCGGGGACUAAUCUCUGGAGCCGAGGUCUCGGUACCCAGCCCCCCCCCCCCCAGGCGUCCCCCGGCCCUUUCUUGGGGACUAACCUUCGGAGGCGAGGUCUCGGUGCCCAGCCCCAACCCAGGCGUCCCCCGGCCCCCUCUCGGGGACCAACCUUCAGAGCUGAGGUCUCGGUGCCCAGCCCCCACCCAGGCGUCCCCCGGCCCUUUCCCGGGGACUAACCUCUGGAGCCGAGGAUUCGGUGCCCAGCCCCCACCCAGGCGUCUCAAUUUUUGGUGACUGUGCCCGUAGUUCAGAUGGUCCGUUGGGUUCUUGAUCGUUUUUCCGUACUCCGACUUACUGCUACACUCUUCUCUGCAUCUGGAGAUUCCUCCGGUUCGUUUGAUCUUUCCCCCGGUAGGAGACUUUCCAGGGUGCGGGAUCCCUUUCUCCUCCGCAGUUCCCUUUCGGGAGCGCCCGUCCCGCUCGGAUUCACCUUCUCUCACUCUCCUCUUUUCUCCCGUUCUGCCCAAUAAUGUCACGAACUUCUUGCCGUUAUUGGAGUUUAGGUUCCUCUGCCAGCAAUUGGUUGUUGUUCUGUGUGAGUCAUUUCUUCUGUAGAUGUGCUUUUUUUGUUGUGUUUGUGGGAGAGGGCGAGCGUGUCCCCCUACUCCUCCGCCAUCUUGUCCUCUCCUCCAAAGCAGAUUUAAAGUGGUACUUGUUUGGGGGGAAUUUGGCAGUACUUCUUGUGCUGUGAUAUUAUAUUUUAUAAAAUUCAGAUACCUAUUGAAAAUAAAAUAUUUAAAAAAGCCUGAGGUAAAUUCAAAGUACUACUUUAAAUUUAUAAUUCUUAGCAUCUCAGUCAGUGUUAACUAUUUUAAAUGAUCUUAUUCUAGUGAGUGGAUAAAAUACAGAAGAACUAACUGCAUACUAUUUUAACCAGCUCAAAAUUUCUGGAGCAAAGUCAUUAAAAGUUGCAACCUGGAUUUAAAAUAAAAUUGCCCAGAAAAUUUCACCAUUUCAAUUGUGAUGACAUUUCAAGGCUGAGUUAAAAAUGCAUGGCAUUUUUUUAACUGCCCUAUAAACAACAUGUAAAUACAUUUUAUACAUUUAUAACUAUUAAAAGCUAAAUUCCUAAAGUUAAAAUGCUGCCUCCAAGUUUCCUGAUUUCUCUGCCCAACAAAAUAAUUGUUGACUGUUUUGAAAAAAAUUAUCAGAACAAUGUUGAUGAUUUAAUGAUUUUUUUUCUUCCAUCAGAGCUGCAUGGUUUCUUUGAGUGUGCUUAAAGGGAGAGGGGGAAGGGAAGGGGAGGGUAUGAGAAGUCAGUAUGUAAGCCAUACUCAUGGUAGUCUCUGUCUUUGUAGAACUAAGAUAAACUAUCUUUUGCCUUGCUUUGUGCAUCCGUUUAGGAGAAAGCUUGUGCAAUUUGCAUUUUAGAAUGUUCAGUCCUUUUAAUUUACUUCUAAAUAAUUUGUUUCUGCAUUAUGCUGCUUUGUUUGUAGAGAACAAUACUUACACAAGUGUUUUGUGAAGUAAAAUGAACUAACACAGCACUCUCCAAAGAGAAUUUCAAAAUAAAAACCAUUAAGGAUGAAUGGCAUGCAUUACAGAAAUCUCUACCAUAUGUCUGAAUGGGUCUUUGUAUCAAGCUUAUUUAUGAAAUUCAUAGGCACUAAUUUAUCUAAGAAAUAGAAUGAUAAUGCUUUCAAGCCAU